This 45-nucleotide non-coding RNA is filed under the name Trichobilharzia regenti. The record is from RNAcentral. Lineage: Eukaryota; Metazoa; Platyhelminthes; Trematoda; Strigeidida; Schistosomatidae.
AUCCAAGUGAUGAGCCCCAAACAGGGCGAAACGCACAUCCUGGAU